RNAcentral lists this ribosomal RNA (119 nucleotides) under Pteropus alecto (black flying fox). The record is from RNAcentral. Lineage: Eukaryota; Metazoa; Chordata; Mammalia; Chiroptera; Pteropodidae.
GUCUACGGCCAUGCCACCCUGAACAAGCCCGAUCCCAUCUGAUCUCGGAAGCUAAGCAGGUUCGGGCCUGGUUAGUACUUGGGUGGGAGACCACCUAGGAGGACCAGGUGCUGUAGGCG